This 354-nucleotide ribosomal RNA is filed under the name uncultured bacterium. RNAcentral describes it as "bacterial SSU rRNA". It matches the Rfam family "Bacterial small subunit ribosomal RNA", at positions 28 to 381 of the family's 1533-position model. The record is from RNAcentral.
GAUGAACGCUGGCGGCGUGCCUAAUACAUGCAAGUCGAACGAAGGUCUAGCUUGCUAGACCUUAGUGGCGAACGGGUGAGUAAUACAUAAAUAAUCUGCCCAUAUGACUGGGAUAACUAUUGGAAACGAUAGCUAAUACCGGAUAGGUUAAUUGGAGGCAUCUCUGAUUAAUUAAAGUAGGAUUUCUACACAAAUGGAUGAGUUUAUGGCGCAUUAGUUAGUUGGUGGGGUAACGGCCUACCAAGACGAUGAUGCGUAGCCGACCUGAGAGGGUGACCGGCCACACUGGGACUGAGACACGGCCCAGACUCCUACGGGAGGCAGCAGUAGGGAACCUUCCGCAAUGGACGAAAG